RNAcentral lists this unclassified non-coding RNA (281 nucleotides) under Hevea brasiliensis (rubber tree). Lineage: Eukaryota; Viridiplantae; Streptophyta; Magnoliopsida; Malpighiales; Euphorbiaceae. The record is from RNAcentral.
AUUGAGAAGUGUUUCAACUACUUCGUGCAAGCUAGUUCUUGCAUCACUUCCCUGGGCUUUGCUUGUGGAUGCAUCUUCGUCGUGUUUUUGAGAUGCCUCAAAAGUUAUAUCCUCUAUGGGUUCUUCUUCCUCUUUUUGUGUUGAGGAUUCCUCUUCCCCUACGCCCACAGCGUGUGGUAUAUUUAAACUGACGGCUCUUUCGAUUGCAUCCUUGUGCUCUUUUUCUAAUGUCUUCAGUCUUUCGAAUUUCUGCACUUUAGGGGGAGAAGUGGUGGUCUCCG